This 716-nucleotide long non-coding RNA is filed under the name Androctonus crassicauda. The record is from RNAcentral. Lineage: Eukaryota; Metazoa; Arthropoda; Arachnida; Scorpiones; Buthidae.
GCAUUUUGUACAGUAAUUCAGAAAGUUUGUCUCAAUGUUAUACAACUUCUACAUUUCUUUUGUUGCUUGAUCCAAUGUUCAGUCUCUCAUCAUAAGUUUUCCAGCAUGUUUUGCAUAAUAGAUGAAGGAUUUCUGAUCUCUCAGCUCAAGCUUUUUCAGUCAAAUAUGUAUUAUCAACAAGAUGGUGUCCUCUAAACUGGGGAAAGUCUGUUUAGGAACUUGACAAUGUCUUCCUAGAGUGCUGAAUUGAGAGAAGUGGUCCAAUUCCCUGGCUCCAUGAUCACCAGACAUUACGUCUUUUGACUUCAUCUUAUGGAGAUGCAUCAAGAACAUUGUAUACGCAUGCAUGUGCUGAAUGUUCCAAAUGACAAGAUUGUGUAUGAAAUGCCAUUUUCCAACAUAUCUUACAUAAUAGAUGCUAACAGAUCAAAUAUUAUGUUUAUGUAUUCCAAUCAACAAAAGAAGCUCAUGUGGAAAUUGUAUGGCAUGCUGAUAAACUUCCUGAAUUAUUGUAUGAAAUACACAAAAUUGUUUUCAUUUAUCAUGUUUUGUUAAAAAAAUAUUGCAUUUUCUUUUCCAAAAUACCUUUUAUAGAAUAUCCUGAACAGGUAGCCCUCGGUUUACGCCAUAGUUCCGUUCCCACAAAAGCCAGCGCAAAUCAAAUUAGCGUAAAAUGAACCCAAAUUUACAGUGAGGUAUAGGGUUAGGUUCUACAU